GAGGGUGUAGCUCAGUGGUAGAGCACAUGCUUAGCAUGAACAAGGUCCUGGGUUCAAUCUCCAGUAUCUCCU
RNAcentral lists this transfer RNA (72 nucleotides) under Camelus ferus (Wild Bactrian camel). It matches the Rfam family "tRNA". From Rfam's summary of the family: Transfer RNA (tRNA) molecules are approximately 80 nucleotides in length. The record is from Rfam by way of RNAcentral. Lineage: Eukaryota; Metazoa; Chordata; Mammalia; Artiodactyla; Camelidae.